AGCCUCACUCUGCAUGAGAAUGGCCACUGCUUGUCAGUGUCCAGAAUUGGUCAACGUGGCUAAAUUGAGACAGGUUAUGCAUCACAGUAAGUGUACUACAGUGGUGACAAUGAGACCUGUAACAUUU
Small nucleolar RNA from Nannospalax galili (Upper Galilee mountains blind mole rat), 127 nucleotides. The record is from Ensembl. Lineage: Eukaryota; Metazoa; Chordata; Mammalia; Rodentia; Spalacidae.